GACGAACGCUGGCGGCGUGCCUAAUACAUGCAGGUAGAACGCUGAAGAGAGGAGCUUGCUCUUCUUGGAUGAGUUGCGAACGGGUGAGUAACGCGUAGGUAACCUGCCUGGUAGCGGGGGAUAACUAUUGGAAACGAUAGCUAAUACCGCAUAAAAUUGAUUAUUGCAUGAUAAUUAAUUGAAAGAUGCAACUGCAUCACUACCAGAUGGACCUGCGUUGUAUUAGCUAGUUGGUGAGGUAACGGCUCACCAAGGCGACGAUACAUGGCCGACCUGAGAGGGGGAUCGGCCACACUGGGACUGAGACACGGCCAAGACUCCUACGGGAGGCAGCAGUAGGGAAUCUUCGGCAAUGGGGGGAACCCUGACCGAGCAACGCCGCGUGAGGGAAGAAGGGUUUCGGAUCGUAAAGCUCUGUUGUAAGAGAAGAACGGGUGUGAGAGUGGAAAGUUCACACUGUGACGGUAUCUUACCAGAAAGGGACGGCUAACUACGUG
Molecule: ribosomal RNA, 497 nt
Filed under: uncultured bacterium
Lineage: Bacteria
Description: partial 16S ribosomal RNA
Rfam family: Bacterial small subunit ribosomal RNA
Source: RNAcentral